This 440-nucleotide ribosomal RNA is filed under the name uncultured bacterium. RNAcentral describes it as "bacterial SSU rRNA". It matches the Rfam family "Bacterial small subunit ribosomal RNA", at positions 958 to 1398 of the family's 1533-position model. The record is from RNAcentral.
AACGCGAAGAACCUUACCUGGGUUUGACAUCCCUCGACAACUGCAGAGAUGCAGCUUUAGUAGCAAUACUACGGGGAGACAGGUGCUGCAUGGCUGUCGUCAGCUCGUGUGGUGACAUGUUGGGUUAAGUCCCGCAACGAGCGCAACCCUUGUCCUUAGUUGCCAGCAUUCAGUUGGGCUCUCUAAGGAGACUGCCGUGGUGAACACGGAGGAAGGUGGGGAUGACGUCAAGUCCUCAUGGCCUUUAUAUCCAGGGCGACACACGUGAUACAAUGGACGGUACAGAGGGAAGCCAAAGCGCGAGCUGGAGCCAAUCUCAAAAAGCCGUUCUCAGUUCGGAUUGGAGUCUGCAACUCGACUCCAUGAAGUUGGAAUCGCUAGUAAUCGCGGAUCAGAACGCCGCGGUGAAUACGUUCCCGGGCUUGUACACACCGAGUAUA